CCUACGGGUGGCAGCAGUGGGGAAUAUUGCGCAAUGGGCGAAAGCCUGACGCAGCGACGCCGCGUGAGGGAUGAAGGUCUUCGGAUCGUAAACCUCUGUCAGCAGGGAAGAAAGGUCACUGUGCUAAUCAGCAGUGACUUGACGGUACCUGCAAAGGAAGCACCGGCUAACUACGUGCCAGCAGCCGCGGUAAUACGGAUGGUGCGAGCGUUAAUCGGAAUUACUGGGCGUAAAGCGCUCGUAGGCGGUAUGUCAAGUCAAGGGUGAAAUCCCCGCGCUCAACGUGGGAACUGCCUUUGAAACUGGCAAACUGGAGUGUGUGAGAGGAUAGUGGAAUUCCAGGUGUAGGAGUGAAAUCCGUAGAUAUCUGGAGGAACAUCAGUGGCGAAGGCGACUAUCUGGCACAUAACUGACGCUGAGGAGCGAAAGCGUGGGUAGCGAACAGGAUUAGAUACCCCAGUAGUC
Molecule: ribosomal RNA, 465 nt
Filed under: uncultured bacterium
Lineage: Bacteria
Description: partial 16S ribosomal RNA
Rfam family: Bacterial small subunit ribosomal RNA
Source: RNAcentral